UUAGUGGCAGACGGGUGAGUAACAUGUGGGUAUCUUCCCUUUGGUGAGGAAUAACACGAGGAAACUUGUGCUAAUACCUCAUAAGUCUUUACGGAGAAAGCUUUAUGCGCCAAUGGAUGAGCCUGCACUUGAUUAGUUUGUUGGUGGGGUAAUGGCCUACCAAGACUUUGAUCAAUAGCUGAUCUGAGAGGAUGAUCAGCCACAUUGGGACUGAGACACGGCCCAAACUCCUACGGGAGGCAGCAGUAGGGAAUAUUGCACAAUGGAGGAAACUCUGAUGCAGCGAUGCCGCGUGAGUGAAGAAGGCCCUUGGGUUGUAAAGCUCUUUCGUCGGGGAAGAAAAUGACUGUACCCGAAUAAGAAGGUCCGGCUAACUUCGUGCCAGCAGCCGCGGUAAUACGAAGGGACCUAGCGUAGUUCGGAAUUACUGGGCUUAAAGAGUUCGUAGGUGGUUAAAAAAGUUGGUUGUGAAAUCCCGGAGCUUAACUCCGGAACUGCAAUCAAAACUUUUUAGCUAGAGUAUGAUAGAGGAAAGCAGAAUUUCUAGUGUAGAGGUGAAAUUCGUAGAUAUUAGAAAGAAUACCAAUUGCGAAGGCAGCUUUCUGGAUCAUUACUGACACUGAGGAACGAAAGCAUGGGUAGCGAAGAGGAUUAGAUACCCUCGUAGUCCAUGCCGUAAACGAUGUGUGUUAGACGUUGGAAAUUAAUUUUUAGUGUCGCAGCGAAAGCAAUAAACACACCGCCUGGGGAGUACGACCGCAAGGUUAAAACUCAAAUGAAUUGACGGGGACCCGCACAAGUAGUGGAGCAUGUGGUUUAAUUCGAAGAUACGCGCAGAACCUUACCAACACUUGACAUGUUCGUCGCGACUCUAAGAGAUUAGAGUUUUCAGGUUCGGCCGGACGAAACACAGGUGCUGCAUGGCUGUCGU
RNAcentral lists this ribosomal RNA (931 nucleotides) under marine metagenome. RNAcentral describes it as "bacterial SSU rRNA". It matches the Rfam family "Bacterial small subunit ribosomal RNA", at positions 92 to 1055 of the family's 1533-position model. The record is from RNAcentral.